Podarcis lilfordi (Lilford's wall lizard) is the source of this 68-nucleotide non-coding RNA. The record is from the annotation of a GenBank genome assembly. Lineage: Eukaryota; Metazoa; Chordata; Lepidosauria; Squamata; Lacertidae.
GCUGUGGCUCAGGGGCAGAACAUCAUCUUUCAUGCAGAAAGUCGCAGGUUCAAUCCCUGGCAUCUCCA